This 1647-nucleotide ribosomal RNA is filed under the name Triticum aestivum (bread wheat). Its description in RNAcentral is "partial small subunit ribosomal RNA". The record is from RNAcentral. Lineage: Eukaryota; Viridiplantae; Streptophyta; Magnoliopsida; Poales; Poaceae.
AUGCAACCAGAUUUGAAUAAAUUUCCUCAUACUGAAUUUGGAAGUUCACGCUCAUCAAGAGCAUUUUCUAAAUCUUGGUACAAAACUCAUCCAUGGAUUGAAUACGGUGAGUGGAAGAAGGCAGCUUAUUGUUUUUAUUGCUUUCUCUUUAAGCAACCUGGAAGGGCUGAGCACUUUGGUUAUGAAGUAUUCACCAAAGAAAGAUUUACAGAUUGGAAGCAUGCAUCUAAAGCCUUCAAAGAUCAUAUUGGUGAUCCUGGUAGUAAGCACAACUCUUGCGUCAAGCAUUAUGAUGAUUAUUGUAAUCAAAGACAAAGUGUGGCAAGCAAUUUUGCUAGAACUAGCAAGGAAUCGGAAGAAAUGUAUAAGAUCCGCUUGACUUGUUCUGUAAGUUGUUCAAGAUAUCUCAUCGCACAAGGCUUGGCUUUUCGUGGACAUGACGAAUCCUCUACUUCUCUGAACAAAGGAAACUUUAGAGAGAUGAUAGAUUUGGAAAACACAAAAAAUGAACAAGUGAGAGAUGCUUUUGACCGUGGUGGAAGAAAUUGCACAAUGACAUCCGGUGACAUUCAAAAGGAGCUUGCAAUGUGUUGUGCACAUGAAGUUACCAAGAGGAUCAUGGCAGAGCUUAGUGAUAAACAAUUCUCUGUGCUUAUGGAUGAAUCACGUGAUAUAUCUGUGAAAGAGCAAAUGGCGGUGAUGUUGAGGUUUUUGAAUGACAAAGGAAAGGUUGUGGAACGAUUUAUUGCUCUUCACCAUGUCAAAGAUACUACAUCCGAGUCACUAAAGAAUGCUCUUUAUGGUAUUCUUGAUCAUUAUAAGUUAUCUAUUUCAAGUAUACGAGGGCAAGGAUAUGAUGGUGCUUCAAAUAUGAGAGGCGAGUUUAAUGGUUUGCAGAAAAAGAUCAUAGAUGAAAACCCUUUUGCUUUCUAUGUUCAUUGCUAUGCUCAUCGUUUGCAGUUGGUGGUUGUCUCUGUUGCUAGUAGUUGCUCAUCUAUUCAUGAUUUCUUUGAGUACAUCUCCUUAAUUGUGACCACAACAACUACAUCUUGUAAGAGAAGGGAUGCAUUGACAGAGGCACAACACCAAGAUAUUCUGGAUAGACUUGAGAGUGGUGAGAUAUCUACAGGAAGGGGCUUGCACCAAUCAUCUACUCUUGCUAGGCCAGGUGACACUAGAUGGGGUUCCCAUCAUACUACUUUGCUUCGUUUGAAUCAAAUGUGGUCCUCUGUGUUACAGGUACUUAGUACAGUUGAUGAACAUGGACGUGGGCCAUCUCAAGCAGUAGGUUUGAUAGAAAAAAUGGAGAGCUUUAAAUUUGCUUUCAUUCUAAAGCUUAUGUUGAAGUUGUUUGGCAUCACAAAUGAGCUCUCAAAAGUCUUGCAAAGAAAAGAUCUUAAUAUUGUGCUUCCCAUGGAAUUAGUGGAUGAUGUCAAAGCUCGGCUGGCAACAUUAAGAGAGAGUGGUUGAGAUGAUUUAUUUUGUGAUGUUCAAGAAUUUUGUGCUACUAAUAGUAUUCCAGUGCCAAACAUGGAUGAAGCAAUACCAGUUCGUGGUCACUCAAGGAGAGCAGGGAGGACUAUCACUAAUCUUUACCAUUACCGUGCUGAGAUUUUUUAUGUUGGUAUUGACAAAAUAUGCGUGUAG